GUGGGUGCCAAAAUUGCAUAAACCAGAUACCAUCCAUUAAUUAGCCUUUGCCUCAUCGUUGUCAGCUUGCCUCUCCUUCUACUUAAAGCUAUCUAUCUCCAUCGUCUCUAAGACUUUUAAAAAAGUCACAAUCCCCCGAUUCAACAACGAAACGAUGCAGAGACCAAGACGCCGCUGCGAAGGCACUGCCAUGGGUUCUAUUGUUCUCGAUCUCCGCCCUGGCGUAGGAAUCGGUCCUUUUACUCUAGGAAUGCCUAUUUGUGAAGCUUUUGCGCAGAUAGAGCAGCAGCCUAAUAUUUAUGAUGUUGUCCAUGUUAAGUAUUACGACGAGGAGCCCUUAAAACUUGACAUUGUCAUUAGCUUCCCAGAUCAUGGAUUUCAUCUGCGGUUUGAUUCCUGGUCACAGAGACUGCGCCUUAUUGAAAUAUUUGAUGUAAAAAGGCUUCAGAUGCGCUAUGCCACCUCUGUAAUAGGCGGGCCGUCCACUUUGGCCACUUUUGUAGCCGUCUAUUCUCUUUUUGGACCAACCUAUCCAGGAACAUAUGACAAGGACAGAGGAGUUUACACUUUAUUUUAUCCAGGAUUGUCGUUUGCUUUUCCAAUUCCCUCCCAGUAUACAGAUUGCUGCCGUGAUGGUGAAGCGGAACUACCUCUUGAGUUUCCAGAUGGCACAACCCCAGUUACUUGCCGUGUAUCAAUAUUUGAUAGUUCUGCUGGAAGCAAAGUUGGUGUUGGAUCCAUGAUGGACAAGGCCUGUACUCCUCCUCUGCCUGCUGGGAGCCUCUACAUGGAAGAAGUGCAUGUUAAGCUGGGGGAAGAAUUACAGUUUAGCAUUGGUGGACAACACAUCCCCUUUGGUGCAUCGCCACAGGAUGUUUGGACCGAAUUAGGUCGACCAUGCGGAAUCCAUCAAAAACAGGUUGAUCAAAUGGUGAUUCAUUCUGCGUCAGAUCUCCGGCCGAGGACAACUCUUUGUGGUGAUUACUUCUACAACUACUUUACUCGUGGCUUAGAUAUACUGUUUGAUGGGCAGACACAUAAAAUCAAGAAAUUUGUCUUGCACACCAACUAUCCUGGGCAUGCUGAUUUUAAUUCAUACAUGAAGUGCAAUUUUGUUAUCCAUUGUUCUGAUUUUGUAGGGUCUUAUCAUCAGGAUGUAAACUCCUCUAAAGCCACUAUUACAGCCAGCACAAAAUGGGAACAAGUUAAGGAGAUACUAGGGGAUUGUGGUCGAGCUGCUAUCCAGACGCAAGGCUCUGCGAGCAAUCCGUUUGGAUCUACCUUUGUAUAUGGCUACCAAAAUCUUGCCUUUGAGGUGAUGAAGAACGGUUACAUUGCGACUGUAACUCUAUUCCAGUCCUGAUCAUCUAUGUGGCUGCCUGUUGGUAUUGUACAGUUCAAUUACUUGAGGAAAGCAGGUCUGCUUUUAACUGACCGUCAUGGUGGAAAUGUAUCUACUGUAUAUUUGUUUAUACUUGUACAGUUUAUUUUAUAAUUGUCGUCUCUUGUAAACUUAUAUACAUAGCUUUCAACUUCUUGCAAUACAAGACCCGUUACUUCAUUCCUUGGGUAGGUGAAGUUUGG
RNAcentral lists this unclassified non-coding RNA (1584 nucleotides) under Hevea brasiliensis (rubber tree). Lineage: Eukaryota; Viridiplantae; Streptophyta; Magnoliopsida; Malpighiales; Euphorbiaceae. The record is from RNAcentral.